Molecule: ribosomal RNA, 492 nt
Filed under: uncultured bacterium
Lineage: Bacteria
Description: partial 16S ribosomal RNA
Rfam family: Bacterial small subunit ribosomal RNA
Source: RNAcentral
AGUGAACGCUGGCGGUAGGCCUAACACAUGCAAGUCGAACGGCAGCACAGUAAGAGCUUGCUCUUACGGGUGGCGAGUGGCGGACGGGUGAGGAAUACAUCGGAAUCUACCUUUUCGUGGGGGAUAACGUAGGGAAACUUACGCUAAUACCGCAUACGACCUACGGGUGAAAGCAGGGGAUCUUCGGACCUUGCGCGAUUGAAUGAGCCGAUGUCGGAUUAGCUAGUUGGCGGGGUAAAGGCCCACCAAGGCGACGAUCCGUAGCUGGUCUGAGAGGAUGAUCAGCCACACUGGAACUGAGACACGGUCCAGACUCCUACGGGAGGCAGCAGUGGGGAAUAUUGGACAAUGGGCGCAGGCCUGAUCCAGCCAUACCGCGUGGGUGAAGAAGGCCUUCGGGUUGUAAAGCCCUUUUGUUGGGAAAGAAAAGCAGCAGGUUAAUACCCCGCUGUUCUGACGGUACCCAAAGAAUAAGCACCGGCUAACUUCGUG